UACAGAGGUCUCAAGCGUUGUUCGGAUUCAUUGGGCGUAAAGGGUGCGUAGGUGGCGCGGUAAGUCGGGUGUGAAAUCUCGGAGCUUAACUCCGAAAUUGCAUUCGAUACUGCCGUGCUCGAGGACUGGAGAGGAGACUGGAAUUCAUGGUGUAGCAGUGAAAUGCGUAGAGAUCAUGAGGAAGACCAGUGGCGAAAGGCGGGUCUCUGGACAGUUCCUGACACUGAGCACGAAGGCCAGGGGAGCAAACGGG
RNAcentral lists this ribosomal RNA (253 nucleotides) under uncultured bacterium. RNAcentral's name for it is "partial 16S ribosomal RNA". It matches the Rfam family "Bacterial small subunit ribosomal RNA", at positions 524 to 776 of the family's 1533-position model. The record is from RNAcentral.